GGGUCGUCACUGCCACGGAAGUAGCAAUUACGAUUUAAGACAAGAAAGUUUUGUCCGAAGCGAAGACAUGUUGGUACAUUUAUAGAGUUCUAAACUCGAUUGUUUUCUAUAAUUAAACUCAUUUCCGGUUUCAGAUUAUACAGGUGACAAGAAGCUUCAUCCUUAAGAAGAUGUAACUUAAGCCUUCUUCAACACUUCUUCUUUGGCGGGGGUCUCAUUCUCUGACGAUCGAAUCCCUUCCUCAAUGCGCUACAACACAACCACCACGAAGAACAAGGCCACGGUUUUUUGUUUGUUUGUUGAGGUUUAAGACUUUGUAAAGCUUUAUAAACUCUUUUCUUACCUGAAGAAGAUAGUUGUGAAGCCAAUCCAGCGUCUGUGGGAAAGUGGUGGCCGAUAUAUUAACAACAGUCACUCCCUGUGAAUUGAAGGAGCAAAGGUAGUCUUCAAUUGUCUUUAGGUUUGUAAUUAGUCUCUCUUUCUCCUAGCAAACAAAACAAGACCAAACAGUGUUCACACCAACUUUCAAGAUCAGUUUAGUGAAGGGCUUGAGGGUUUUGUUUAUAUACCUUAGAUGUAUAUUUAUCUCCACAUGUACGGGAAGAGAUCCACUCCUCUAGCAAAGCCUGAGGAAGACAACAUGAUUUAACAAAAUUCAACAACUGAGAAAGAAAGACUACUUAAUGCCUCAUAAAAACUUGAAUCACCUUAUGAUCAAACUCAGCCAUCUUCAAAACAAUAGAUAUGACUAUGGGCUCAGGACCAGAUUUCGCCUUCCCACUCCCACCUGCAGGCUUCCUCUUCUCUUCGGCUUCUUUUACAGUUUCUUCUGCUCACAGAUGAAACCGAGACAUACCAUUACACACAAUCUAAUGCAGAGAAACUUCAUAGGAAGAGAGGGAGAUGAUGAGAAUACUAUAAACAAUACCAUCGAUUUUACACUGUGUAACUUUUUCAGACAGCUCUUCUUCCACAGAAGUCGUCAUGGCUUCAGCCUGAGAAUGGGGUUCUUCUUCGGUUUCUUUAGUGUUUGAAGAACUUGCCUCCUCGGGGGAGGUUACAUCUCCUGAAGAGUUUGUUUCUUUUCUACUACUCUUCUCAGGAUCAUUUGAUGGAGCUUUGUUCUCAUCAUUCAUUAAGUAUAUGCUUGGAUCUAAAUGUCUUCCCUGUAAGAUGAUAAUUCAUAACCAAGGCUUAUAAAAUAAAACAAGUUUAACAGAUGAAAUAAAAUGAUUUUCACAAAGGAUAUAUACCUCAAUGAUAAUGGGUUUCCCAUCUUUCAUUGCUUUCUUCAAAUCACCAGCAAGUCCUAAGCAAACAACAACAAAACCAUUUGUGAUAAUGUAACAAUCCACAAAACACAAAGUGGAAAAAAAACAAAAACAAAAAAGGACCUUUACGAACAAUUCUGCAUUCUCUACAGAACUCAGCUAUGAGCUCCUCUGAUGAUGCGAACUCACGAGUCCAUACAGGGGUUGAUGUCAAAGGAGCACUAAGAUUAAACCAAAAAAAAACAACAAUACAUUCAUCAUAUGUCAGACUAGAGGAUAAGAGUGUGACAGAUAGAAGUAGAAACUUACUCAGUUGCUGUACGGAGCAGCUCAUAUACCAUGUCAGUCUGUAGAAACAGAAGAGAGCACAUAAGAUUUGAAAAAGAAAACGAAUGAAGAAGAAGAGGGUAUUGAGGGAGUGAUAAAUACAUGUAAGACGUUAGGCAAGUUGAGUCUCUGAGCAAGUUGUGUGGCUAUUGUUGACUUCCCAACACAUGCUGUUCCGCAUACUAGUAUCACCAGUGGUACUCUCCGAUGAUGAAAUCUAUAUAACCCACAUACACAAAAAAUUUAAAACUUUGAAAGUAAAAAAAGUAUAUAUAUAUAUAUAUAGUUAGCACUUACUUGGUCAUCAUAUUGUAGCGAUUAACGUACUCCUUCCCGUAACCACGUCGCUCCAUAAGCUGCAAUUUUGAAUCAGAAUUAGUUUUAAAAACGUUUUUCACAAGACCAUCUAAAGAUAUGUAUGCACCAUACCAUAAACAAACUGGUUUCCAAAUCUUUCAUAUGUAUCCAAAUCAAGCUUCUUAUAUCGUGAUUCAAGUUAUAUUUAGAAAGUUAUAGUUUUGAAUUUUUUUAAAUUAUAGAAAAUAUUUUUAUUUUAAAAUUUUAUAAUAUUAAUUAAAAUUUAAUAGAUAUAUUUUAGUAUUUUAUAAUUUCAAUUUAAAUUUUUUAUUGAAUAUUUUUAUUUUUGUAUUUAUAUUGUUUUUUUUUAAAUAAGAUUUUAGGAUUCGAGUUCUAGGAUUGAUUAACACAUGCACUCAGCAACUACAUCACAAUUAGGAUUCCCUUAACCUGAAAGUAUAGCUUAUAUCUUAUUCUCUGAACUCAACCAAUCUAUUUUAUUUAUUGCGUAUCAUUAUUUACUGUCUUAACCAAUUACCUGUCUGGCUUAAUCUUAUAUUUAAUAUGUUCUAUUGUGUUCCCACGCUCUCUAUGGAUUCGAUUCCCAAGUGCUAUAUCCGAUGUCUUAUCUGAGAGAGUUGACUCUAGGGUUAAUUUGAGCUUAUCAUCAUUACCCAUUGAUAUAGAGAGGUUUUAAGCAUUUCAUGUCGUUUAUGUAACGGUUCCCCGUUUAGAAAAGAUGAUUUUGUUUACAGAGGGUUAAAAGCAUUAAAUGUUUAAUAGUUGAAGGUUUAAAAACAUAAAAUUUUAGUUGUGGUUUUUCCAUCCGAUUUGAAAAUAGUUGGAGGUUUAAAUCACUAAAAUAUCGACUGAUCAUAAGAACCUCGUGUCGUUUUCGUGAUUACAUGAAACGCUGCGUUUUGAUUUAACGGGUCUCCGUUAAGAAAAACUGGUUUUGUUAACGGAAGGUUAACAGUAUUAACGGUCUAAUAGUUGAAGGUUUAAAAACAUAAAUUUUACUCGGAGUUUUUUCAUCCGAUUUAAAAAUAGUUAGAAAUCACUAAUAACCCUUAUUAUUAUUAUUAUCUCAAACUUGUGGUUUGACAAUCUAGAUCUUGGAAUAAGAUCUUUAACUAUAUUCCAGGAGCACGAUUCAGUAUAUAGUUAUAUGAUGAAAGAAACUGUUAAUGUUUAGAUUCACAAUCAUCUGGUCCAAAAACAUGAAAAAGCCUAAGUAUGUCAAAUUGUUGGAAAAUAUAUCAUUAACAGACAACGAAUGUAUAAUUUUAAGAAGUGCUUUUAAACCUCAGCAUCAAGAUUGUAAUCACAUAUGUUUUUACACAUCAGAUCUGAUGAUUAUUUGAAUUCCAUCAUUGGUUAAAAAAAGCCACUUUCAAUCAAAAUCAAAACAAAGCGAGUUGGUUUAAUGCAUCAGAGAGAUUCCCAUUAAAGACUAAAGUCAACACAGAUUAUUUCUGAUGUCCCUGUCUGUUUAAUCUUCACUUGCAAAUAACCAUCAAGUCCACUUCACAAAGAAUAAAAAAAAAACCGUCAACCAAGGUCAGAUGAUACUCGGUAGAAAAAAAGACUUGAGCUUUAAAAAACAAAACAAAAUCCUACAGUACUCAAGAUAUAAGCAGGAUUUUGAUGAAGAAACAGGUUUAGGACAGAACAGAGACUGGAAGUUACGGUUAUGGCGAUGUUCGCUCUUGUACUUAUAAAGAAGAUUUAGGAGGAAAGGGGGAUGUAAGUAUGUGAUUUAUUUAGCUGUUAUCAAAAGGGGAUGUAGCUCAGAUGGUAGAGCGCUCGCUUAGCAUGCGAGAGGUACGGGGAUCGAUACCCCGCAUCUCCAUAUUUUUUACACAUCUUCCUUUUGAUUUUCGUAAAUGAAAUAAUGAUUAAUCACCACAGAAUUGAUUUGUUUGAAAGCAUCCCCAUAGAACCUUUAAGAAGACAUCAUAAAUAUUUGUUACUUCCACAAAGUGCAAAAUAAUCUUGGAAGCUAUAACGUGUACUAUGCAAAGAAGCAUCUGAAUCAUUCAUGUUUUCAUAAAAAAACAAAAGUUUGUUUAUCUAAGAUCGGGUCGUCACUGCCACGGAAGUAGCAAUUACGAUUUAAGACAAGAAAGUUUUGUCCGAAGCGAAGACAUGUUGGUACAUUUAUAGAGUUCUAAACUCGAUUGUUUUCUAUAAUUAAACUCAUUUCCGGUUUCAGAUUAUACAGGUGACAAGAAGCUUCAUCCUUAAGAAGAUGUAACUUAAGCCUUCUUCAACACUUCUUCUUUGGCGGGGGUCUCAUUCUCUGACGAUCGAAUCCCUUCCUCAAUGCGCUACAACACAACCACCACGAAGAAC
RNAcentral lists this long non-coding RNA (4250 nucleotides) under Brassica napus (rape). RNAcentral's name for it is "long non-coding RNA (BNAP_LNC020711)". The stretch from base 3675 to 3747 matches the Rfam family "tRNA". The record is from RNAcentral. Lineage: Eukaryota; Viridiplantae; Streptophyta; Magnoliopsida; Brassicales; Brassicaceae.